This 816-nucleotide ribosomal RNA is filed under the name uncultured organism. RNAcentral describes it as "bacterial SSU rRNA". It matches the Rfam family "Bacterial small subunit ribosomal RNA", at positions 502 to 1332 of the family's 1533-position model. The record is from RNAcentral.
UACGUGCCAGCAGCCGCGGUAAGACGUAGGACGCGAGCGUUAUCCGGAUUUACUGGGCGUAAAGCGCCUGCAGGCGGUCAGGUAAGUCGGUUGUGAAAGCCCCGUGCUCAACGCGGGGAGGCCAAGCGAUACUGCGUGACUUGAGGGCGGAAGAGGGGAGUGGAAUUCCCGGUGUAGCGGUAAAAUGCGCAGAUAUCGGGAGGAACACCAGUGGCGAAGGCGGCUCCCUGGACCGCACCUGACGCUCAGAGGCGAAAGCUAGGGGAGCGAACAGGAUUAGAGACCCUGGUAGUCCUAGCCCUAAACGCUGGAUGCUAGGUGUAGGGCUGAUGAGGCUCUGUGCCGGAGCGAACGCGAUAAGCAUCCCGCCUGGGAACUACGGCCGCAAGGCUAAAACUCAAACGAAUUGACGGGGACCCGCACAAGCAGCGGAGCGUGUGGUUUAAUUCGAUGCUACACGAAGAACCUUACCUGGGUUUGACAUGCUGGUGGUACCGAACCGAAAGGGGAGGGACCCUUCGGGGAGCCAACACAGGUGCUGCAUGGCUGUCGUCAGCUCGUGCCGUGAGGUGUCGGGUUAAGUCCCGUAACGAGCGCAACCCUUGCUCUUAGUUAUACGUGUCUAAGGGGACUGCCGGCGACAAGCCGGAGGAAGGUGGGGAUGACGUCAAGUCAGCAUGGCCUUGAUAUCCAGGGCUACACACACGCUACAAUGGCCGGUACAAAGGGCAGCCAAGCCGCGAGGUGGAGCGAAUCCCAGCAAAGCCGGUCCCAGUUCGGAUUGCAGGCUGCAACCCGCCUGCAUGAAGUUGGAGU